GUAGGGAAUAUUGCACAAUGGAGGAAACUCUGAUGCAGCGACGCCGCGUGAGUGAUGAAGGCCUUCGGGUCGUAAAACUCUGUGAUAAGGGAAGAUAAUGACGGUACCUUAUCAGAAAAGACCGGCUAACUUCGUGCCAGCAGCCGCGGUAAUACGAGGGGUCUAAGCGUUGUUCGGAAUCACUGGGCGUAAAGCGGGUGUAGGUGGCUAUGCAAGUUGGAUGUGAAAUCCCCGGGCUCAACCCGGGAAGUGCAUCCAAAACUACGUAGCUUGAGUGCGGGAGAGAAAGGCAGAAUUCCUGGUGUAGUGGUGAAAUACGUAGAUAUCAGGAGGAACUCCGGUGGCGAAGGCGGCCUUUUGGCCCAGCACUGACACUCAGACCCGAAAGCGUGGGUAGCAAACAGGAUUAGAAACCCUGGUAGUCC
Molecule: ribosomal RNA, 425 nt
Filed under: uncultured bacterium
Lineage: Bacteria
Description: partial 16S ribosomal RNA
Rfam family: Bacterial small subunit ribosomal RNA
Source: RNAcentral